UACAGAGGGUGCGAGCGUUAAUCGGAAUUACUGGGCGUAAAGCGCGCGUAGGCGGCUUUGCAAGUCGAGUGUGAAAUCCCCAGGCUUAACCUGGGAACUGCAUUCGAGACUGCAUAGCUAGAGUAUGGGAGAGGGAAGUGGAAUUUCAGGUGUAGCGGUGAAAUGCGUAGAUAUCUGAAGGAACAUCAGUGGCGAAAGCGACUUCCUGGGCCAAUACUGACGCUGAGGUGCGAAAGCGUGGGGAGCAAACAGG
Molecule: ribosomal RNA, 253 nt
Filed under: uncultured bacterium
Lineage: Bacteria
Description: partial 16S ribosomal RNA
Rfam family: Bacterial small subunit ribosomal RNA
Source: RNAcentral